AUUGAACGCUGGCGGCAGGCCUAACACAUGCAAGUCGAGCGGAUGAAGGGAGCUUGCUCCUGGAUUCAGCGGCGGACGGGUGAGUAAUGCCUAGGAAUCUGCCUGGUAGUGGGGGAUAACGUCCGGAAACGGGCGCUAAUACCGCAUACGUCCUGAGGGAGAAAGUGGGGGAUCUUCGGACCUCACGCUAUCAGAUGAGCCUAGGUCGGAUUAGCUAGUUGGUGGGGUAAAGGCCUACCAAGGCGACGAUCCGUAACUGGUCUGAGAGGAUGAUCAGUCACACUGGAACUGAGACAGGGUCCAGACUCCUACGGGAGGCAGCAGUGGGGAAUAUUGGACAAUGGGCGAAAGCAUGAUCCAGCCAUGCCGCGUGUGUGAAGAAGGUCUUCGGAUUGUAAAGCACUUUAAGUUGGGAGGAAGGGCAGUAAGUUAAUACCUUGCUGUUUUGACGUUACCAACAGAAUAAGCACCGGCUAACUUCGUG
Molecule: ribosomal RNA, 484 nt
Filed under: uncultured bacterium
Lineage: Bacteria
Description: partial 16S ribosomal RNA
Rfam family: Bacterial small subunit ribosomal RNA
Source: RNAcentral